CAGUAGCCGCGGUAACACGGAGGGUGCAAGCGUUAAUCGGAAUUACUCGGCGUAAAGCGCACGCAGGCGGUCUGACAAGUCAGAUGUGAAAUCCCCGGGCUUAACCUGGGAACUGCAUUUGAAACUGUCAGGCUGGAGUCUUGUAGAGGGGGGUGGAAUUCCAGGUGUAGCGGUGAAAUGCGUAGAGAUCUGGAGGAAUACCGGUGGCGAAGGCGGCCCCCUGGACAAAGACUGACGCUCAGGUGCGAAAGCGUGGGGAGCAAACAGGAUUAGAUACCCCAGUAGUCCCUGUCUCUUAUAC
Molecule: ribosomal RNA, 301 nt
Filed under: uncultured bacterium
Lineage: Bacteria
Description: partial 16S ribosomal RNA
Rfam family: Bacterial small subunit ribosomal RNA
Source: RNAcentral